RNAcentral lists this ribosomal RNA (406 nucleotides) under uncultured bacterium. RNAcentral's name for it is "partial 16S ribosomal RNA". It matches the Rfam family "Bacterial small subunit ribosomal RNA", at positions 30 to 526 of the family's 1533-position model. The record is from RNAcentral.
AUUGAACGCUGGCGGCAGGCCUAACACAUGCAAGUCGAACGAGUGGCGGACGUGUGAGUAAUGUCUGGGAAACUGCUUGAUGGCUGGGGAUAACUACUGGAAACGGUAGCUAAUCCCGCAUACCAUCGGAUGUGCCAAGAUGGGAUUAGCUAGUAGGUGGGGUAAAGGCUAACCUAGGCGACGAUCCCUAGCUGGUCUGAGAGGAGGACCAGCCACACUGGAACUGAGACACGGGCCAGACUCCUACGGGAGGCAGCAGUGGGGAAUAUUGCACAAUGGGCGAAAGCCUGAUGGAGCCAUGCCGCGUGUAUGAAGAAGGCCUUCGGAUUGUAAAGUACUGUCAGCGGGGAGGCGUUACCCGCAGAAGAAGCACCGGCUAACUCCGUGCCAGCAGCCGCGGUAAUAC